RNAcentral lists this ribosomal RNA (579 nucleotides) under uncultured cyanobacterium. RNAcentral describes it as "bacterial SSU rRNA". It matches the Rfam family "Bacterial small subunit ribosomal RNA", at positions 152 to 761 of the family's 1533-position model. Lineage: Bacteria; Bacillati; Cyanobacteriota. The record is from RNAcentral.
CGAAAGGUCCGCUAAUACCGCAUAUGCCGCAAGGUGAAAGGAGUAAUCCGUCUAAAGAUGAGCCCGCGUCCGAUUAGCUAGUUGGUAGAGUAAGAGCCUACCAAGGCGACGAUCGGUAGCUGGUCUGAGAGGAUGAUCAGCCACAAUGGGACUGAGACACGGCCCAUACUCCUACGGGAGGCAGCAGUGGGGAAUUUUACGCAAUGGGGGAAACCCUGACGUAGCGACACCGCGUGAGCGAAGAAGCCCUUUGGGGUGUAAAGCUCUGUCAGCUGGAACGAAAACAAUGACGGUACCAGCAGAGGAAGCAUCGGCUAACUACGUGCCAGCAGCCGCGGUAAGACGUAGGAUGCGAGCGUUGUCCGGAUUUAUUGGGCGUAAAGAGUUCGUAGGUGGUUUGUUAAGUUUGGUGUUAAAGAUCGGGGCUCAACCCUGGGACUGCACUGAAUACUGGCAGACUCGAGUGUGGUAGAGGCUAGUGGAAUUCCCAGUGUAGCGGUGAAAUGCGUAGAUAUUGGGAAGAACACCGGUGGCGUAGGCGACUAGCUGGGCCAUAACUGACGCUGAGGAACGAAAGCC